Molecule: transfer RNA, 71 nt
Filed under: Stegodyphus mimosarum
Lineage: Eukaryota; Metazoa; Arthropoda; Arachnida; Araneae; Eresidae
Rfam family: tRNA
About the family: Transfer RNA (tRNA) molecules are approximately 80 nucleotides in length. Their secondary structure includes four short double-helical elements and three loops (D, anti-codon, and T loops).
Source: Rfam by way of RNAcentral
GCCUUCUUGGUGUAACGGUUAGCACACUCGGCACGUAUUCGAGAGGUCCAGGUUCGAUUCCGGUGACGGCA